Long non-coding RNA from Mauremys reevesii (Reeves's turtle), 788 nucleotides. RefSeq lists it as uncharacterized. The transcript has 5 exons. The record is from RefSeq and is a predicted model, not a curated record. NCBI's taxonomy places the organism in Eukaryota, Metazoa, Chordata, Testudines, Geoemydidae.
GGAGUGCAGAUGGUGCUCCUGGCUGGCUGAAGGGAACCGCAGAACCAAGGAUAGAGCAGUUGCUAGCAGUGACUAGGAGAGCAAGAGGGAGAUCCAGGCUGGCUGCUGGGACUUGCUGUAUGCCCUACAGUAAAGAUGUUCUGGAGACAGAUCGACCUGAACUGAACUCUCCUUCUGAUGCUGUGCUGUUGGCUUUGAGCUGAUUUGUAUCCUUAACAAUGAAAAAAAAAGAGAGAGCCAAAAAGCAGCAGUUUAAAAUGCAGAUCUGCAUCCCAAAUUAACAGAUGGGACGGUUGUGAUCUUGUAAUCAGUUCCCAAUUUGAGUAAAAGAAAGGGUGAUCAGAGCAAUUGUAAGGACCAAAUGAACCAUAAACACAAAACAAAAAACAGAGAAAAUAAGAAUAGCAGCCUGAAAAUAUUCAAGUGUCGUUAAGAAUAGAAACUGUCUCACUGAAAACUCCAGUUACUCCUUUUCAGAACCGACCCCCUCACUCCCAACUGCUGGGAGGGUGCUUGGUUACCCAGCUCCCAUUAACAGCAACGUCAGCCGCACAUCUAAUUCUCCAUGCACCGUUUUGAAAAAGUAGAGGACUGCCCCUCCCAGUUCUGCCAGGGGUGCCUGAUGCCCUAAAUGGCACCAGAGAAAGCAGAGAGAAGGCCAUGCUCUCCCACACCACUUCUGCAUCAGUCUGAAGAGCAGGAGCAGCACUCAGCAGGAGACAGCUGUAGCAGUAUACACAGUGGCGCUCUCUCUGCAUGAUGGAGUUCUCCCGGAGGGAACAGAACUC